UAGGGAAUCUUCCACAAUGGACGCAAGUCUGAUGGAGCAACGCCGCGUGAGUGAAGAAGGUUUUCGGACCGUAAAGCUCUGUUGUUGGUGAAGAAGGAUAGAGGUAGUAACUGGCCUUUAUUUGACGGUAAUCAACCAGAAAGUCACGGCUAACUACGUGCCAGCAGCCGCGGUAAUACGUAGGUGGCAAGCGUUGUCCGGAUUUAUUGGGCGUAAAGCGAGCGCAGGCGGAAGAAUAAGUCUGAUGUGAAAGCCCUCGGCUUAACCGAGGAAUUGCAUCAGAAACUGUUUUCUUGAGUGUAGA
Molecule: ribosomal RNA, 304 nt
Filed under: uncultured bacterium
Lineage: Bacteria
Description: partial 16S ribosomal RNA
Rfam family: Bacterial small subunit ribosomal RNA
Source: RNAcentral